This is a long non-coding RNA of Hirundo rustica (Barn swallow), 524 nucleotides long. RefSeq lists it as uncharacterized. NCBI's taxonomy places the organism in Eukaryota, Metazoa, Chordata, Aves, Passeriformes, Hirundinidae. The record is from RefSeq and is a predicted model, not a curated record. The transcript has 2 exons.
GACACUUAUUACCUGUCAAAAUGUAAUUGAGAUUGUAUCACAAGGCUGAAAUUCUACAGUGGAUUAAUCCAAAGGAUUUCAGGCAGAAGGGAGAUAAGUCACGCUGUGUUGAAGCCCCACAUGGAAACUCAUUAUUUUGGAAGACUAGAGCUUGACACCAUCUCCGGCUGAGCAGCUGCUUAUGAAGAAUUGUACUCCUUCCCAGCCACAUGUGUAAUACUAACAAGGAAAUCAGCAGAAAACCUCUCAGCAGCUGGAAAAAACAAUAAAAAGGAGGACUCAAAAAUUUGAAUGUAUGGAAGAAUAAACUCUCCUUGUAUCUGUUAACAGAAACUGACCUUGCAGUAGUCUUCACAUCUUGUUUCUGCAACUUAGGUAGGACACGAACAGUACAACAACAGCCAUACAAAAUAUGUAAAUUCUAGUUCAGAAAAGGGUCUCACGUUUUGUUGAAUGACUCUGUUUUGAGCUGGAUAAAAGCCAAAAGAUUCAGUUUUUCUUCUGAAUAAAAUUCCAAAGCAUUU